This 2768-nucleotide long non-coding RNA is filed under the name Sus scrofa (pig). RNAcentral describes it as "lncRNA (ENSSSCG00055013253.1)". Lineage: Eukaryota; Metazoa; Chordata; Mammalia; Artiodactyla; Suidae. The record is from RNAcentral.
AGAAGUCAAGGAGUUGAGGUAGGGAAUGCUUCCACAAAAACGUUUUCACGGUUAUCCGGAACUUCUGCUUGUCCACACUUUCCCUUAAAAGUUUCCCAAACUGCCCAGCCUAGGCAUAGCUAUCUGCCAGUGGCUGCUUUAAUGAGGAAGACCUGAAAGGAAGAGGAGCGAGAUGAGGUGGAGUUGGGGGUCCCAGACAAGGAUUCCUGCUUCCUGGCCAGCAACAAUAAAGGAAAACUUUUUGACCUCAUCACCACCCUCUUCUUGAGGUUGGAGCACAGCUGUGUGUGUUUGUUGUAUUAGAGGUUUUUGGUGUGGUGACCUUUUUGCAGACAAUAGAGUUGUAGCCUCUCUUACUUCUGGUGUCUGCCUGCCUGUGGCCGAAGUUGAUUUCAGGGGCUUGCUGUAGGCUUCCUGAUGGGAGUGACUGGGGCCUGCCCACUGGUAGGUGGAGCUGAUUCCUAUCCCUCUGGUGGGUGGGCUUUGUCUCUGGUUGAGUUUAGAGGUUGCUGUGUGCCUGGGGGGGGGGGGUCUUUCGGCAGCCUGUUUACUGAUGGGUGGGGCUGUGAUCCCACCUGGAUUGUUGUUUGGCCUGGGGCUUCUCAACAUGGAUGGGUGGGGUCAGAUUUUCCCAAAAUGGCCACCUCCAGAGAAAGGCACACUGAUGAAUAUUCCCAGGAGAUUUGUCUCCAGUGUCCUUCCCUCACAACAAGCCACAUUCAUUCUGUUUUCCCAGAAGAUCAAUGAAGAACUGCAGUCAGGUCUAACCCAGAUUCCUAUGGAGCCUUUGCUUUGACCUGGGACCCAGUGCAAAUGAAAGUGUGCGCUUUUUAAGAACGGGGUCUCCAUUUCCCCCAGCCCUGUGGCGCUCCUGUGCACAAGCCCCACUAGCCUUUAAUGCCAGAUGCUCCUGGGGCUCUUUCUCCCAGUGCCAGAUCCCCAGGCGUGGGGAUUUGACAUGGGGCUCAGAACUCUCACUCCUGUAGGUGAGUCUCUGUGAUGCAAUUACUUUCCAGUCUGUGGGGCUUCCCACCCAGUAGGUAUAGAGUUGCUUAUGUGGAGUAUUCGCCCCUCCUACCUCUUGAUGUGACCUCCUCUUUGUCUUCUGGAGUAGGAUAUCUUUUUGAAAGUUUCCAGUCCAUUUGGUUGAAGGUUGCUCAGCAUUUCGUUGUAAUUUUUUUUUGUUUUUAUGAGAGAAGUUGAGCUCCAGUCCUUCUAUUCCACCAUCUUAAUCCCUUGUUUCUGUUUUAUAAGUGAAUUCACUUGUACCAUUUUUAGAUUCCACAUAUAAGUGAUAUCUUAUGAUAUUUGCCUUUGACUUACUUUGCUUAGUAUGAUCAUCUCUACAUCCACCUAUUUGCUGCAAAUGUCAUUAUUUCAAUCUUUUUAAUGGCUGAGUAAUAGUCCAUUGUAUAUAUAAACCACAUCUUCCCUAUAUAUAUAUAUAUUUUGGGUUUAUCCUAUAUAUAUGUAUGUAUGUAUGUAUAGUCUUUUUGCCUUUGCUAGGGCCACUCCCAUGCCAUAUGGAGGUUCCCAGGCUAGGGGUCUAAUCCGAGCUGUAGCUGCCGGCCUACACCAGAGCCACAGCAACACGGGAUCCAAGCCACGCCUGCAACCUACACCACAGCUCACGGCAUCACCAGAUCCUUAACCCUGAGCAAGGCCAGGGAUCGAACCCACAACCUCAUGGUUCCUAGCCAGAUUCAUUAACCACUGAGCCACGAUGGUAACUCCAUCCUAUAUAUUUUGGAUUGGAUUUGCCUAGCCAACCCUCAGUUCCUUACAACAUCCCUUGCAAUAACUUUCUCACUUUCUGAACCCUGACAUGCGCUAUAACCCUUCUGCCAGCAAAGUAAGAGACUGCCUGUGGUAAUUUUAUCAUAAUGAGCAGGUUUUUAAAAAUAAAGCUCUUUAUUGUAAAGCAAGUUUUUUUCCUUUUUAGGGUUGCACCCGUAGCAGAUGGAAGUUCCCAGGCUAGGGGUUAUAUCAGAGCUGCAGCUGCCAGCCACACACAGCCACAGCCGUGCCAGAUCUAAGCUGCAUCUGCAACCUACACCACAGCUUGUGGCAAUGCUGGCUCCUUAACCCACUAAGCAAGGCAAGGGAUCGAACUGCAUCCUCACAGAUACUAGCUGGGUUCUCAACCUGCUGAGCCACAAGGAGAACUCUGUAAAACAAAUUUUGAUAGAAGUACAAUUCUAAGGAUUUCUAGCAGGAAUGAUAAGCAUACUGUUUAUAUAAGUGUUUGUGUUUAUGGUGUGGAGAGGGAGGGUGGAGAGAAGAGAUAAUAGAUUAAAAACACAAACCAUGUAGAAACUAAAAGAUUUCCUUUGUCCUUGCCUGACCAGAAAGCACUAUAAUUUACAAUUAUAUUAAGGCAAUAGUCAAAAAAGAAUGAAUUUUUAAAGAUGAAUUUCAAUCAUCAACCAGAAUGGGAAAGAUGAAAGCAUUUACCACCCUUAAGAACAUUCAUAUGUUCAUUCAACAAAUAUAUAUUGAAGAAGAAAUCCUUUAAUGAAAGAGCAUGGAACUUGAUCUCAAGACCUCAGUUAAAAUCUGGACUAUGCCAGUAAAUAGCAAAGUAAAACUCUUAACCACUCAAAUCAGUUUCAAACACAGGAAAUCUCAAAGGGAACUUAUGCUUUAUUAAUAUUUGUUUGUAUUUUUUAAAUCAUAAUGGUGGCCUUUUAUUAGUUCUGUAAAUAAUAACUGUAUGUUUAAUGUAAUUAUUGUAUUUCAAAGUAAAAGUGACAUUGUAUGUUAUAAAU